RNAcentral lists this ribosomal RNA (440 nucleotides) under uncultured bacterium. Its description in RNAcentral is "partial 16S ribosomal RNA". It matches the Rfam family "Bacterial small subunit ribosomal RNA", at positions 338 to 795 of the family's 1533-position model. The record is from RNAcentral.
CCUACGGGAGGCAGCAGUAGGGAAUAUUGCUCAAUGGGGGAAACCCUGAAGCAGCAACGCCGCGUGGGGGAUGAAGGUUUUCGGAUUGUAAACCCCUUUUGUUAGGGAAGAAAAUGACGGUAUCUAACGAAUAAGCACCGGCUAACUCCGUGCCAGCAGCCGCGGUAAUACGGAGGGUGCAAGCGUUAUCCGGAAUCACUGGGCGUAAAGGGCGCGUAGGCGGGAUAGCAAGUCAGAUGUGAAAUCCUAUGGCUUAACCAUAGAACUGCUUUUGAAACUGUUAUUCUAGAGUACGGGAGAGGUAAGUGGAAUUCUUGGUGUAGGGGUAAAAGGCGUAGAGAUUAAGAGGAAUACUCAUUGCGAAGGCGGCUUACUGGAACAUAACUGACGCUGAUGCGCGAAAGCGUGGGGAGCAAACAGGAUUAGAUACCCUUGUAGUC